RNAcentral lists this ribosomal RNA (314 nucleotides) under uncultured Chytridiomycetes. RNAcentral describes it as "partial large subunit ribosomal RNA". It matches the Rfam family "Eukaryotic large subunit ribosomal RNA", at positions 40 to 350 of the family's 3401-position model. The record is from RNAcentral. Lineage: Eukaryota; Fungi; Chytridiomycota; Chytridiomycetes.
AUAUCAAUAAGCGGAGGAAAAGAAACCAACAGGGAUUCCCCUAGUAACGGCGAGUGAAGCGGGAAAAGCUCAACUUUGUAAUCUCGCGGUUUUGCCGCGCGAAUUGUAGUUUCAAGAAACGUUUUCAGUGGCGGGCUGGGCGUAAGUCUGCUGGAACGCAGCGUCAUGGAGGGUGAGAAUCCCGUGUGGCGUCCGGCUUCCGCUGCUGUGUGAUACGUUUUCGAAGAGUCGGAUAGUUUGAGAAUGCUGUCCAAAAUGGGUGGUAAAUACCAUCUAAAGCUAAAUAUUGGCGAGAGACCGAUUGCGCACAAGUA